Molecule: long non-coding RNA, 3783 nt
Filed under: Sorghum bicolor (sorghum)
Lineage: Eukaryota; Viridiplantae; Streptophyta; Magnoliopsida; Poales; Poaceae
Description: long non-coding RNA (SBIC_LNC009104)
Source: RNAcentral
CACUUGAGUAGAUCUCUAUAAAUGCUGUCAUGCUACCUUUGUCUAUUUACUAGUAAGUGUUAGUUUGGAAGUAAUGCACAUACUUCUAUUGGCUUUUAAAUUAAGCAUGGUGCUUAGGUUAAACAGCCUUCCUUAAUCUGAUUAGACAUGGAGUCUAGUUCGGUUAUUGAACUAAAAAACUGCUUGUGUAGACAUUGGUAUAUUUUUGUCGGACUAACCCCUGCAGAAAAACUUUCAAUAUCGAUUUCGGAAGUCCUGAGAUAAACUCACAUCAGAGACGAAGAGAGUGACACAUGAAGUUUAACAAUUUGCACAAGAAGGACGUAGCUCAUUCAUCAUAGAGAGAUGAUCCAUGGAGGGUGCCACAAACACGAUGCACAACCGCUAAGAAAGGAAAGCUUCCACAAGGUGAUACUGUACCAUCACUUUUCAAGCAAGGUAACAUCUUAAGGUACUUGACUAUCACUUUUAUAAGCUUCUCCUUGGUUCUGGCGUUCAUAUAAAUAAAAGAGACAAACAUGUAUGAUUUACAACUUUAGAUUAACCAACCCAACUGAUUCAACAUGUUUAGUCCUUUAAUCCUUGUUCUUAGUACUACCUCCAUGAUCCCACACUCCUAAUCAUAUGAGCUAAAAUGUUACACACUCAAUCUUUGAGAGAUAUAAAGAAAAAGACAUUCCAUAAGGUUGAGCGAUCUGAUCUGACAAAUGUUAUAAGUGCUACACUCAUGAACUUUUCAUCCAUCAACUUUGUCUUGCUCACUAUGCUUAGGGUUAGAGAAGAACAAAUACACUUUAGGUUCUGUUGGUGUUUUGCACCAACAGAACCCAUGCACUUGAUCUCUGCCUUGUCUCUAUGAGCAGGUACACUUUGAGCAAAACACGGAGGAGUUUUAUAACUCUCAGACUCUACCAAGUGAAGGAUCUGGAUCUACGAGCACAAACACACUGAGCAGGUUACUGCCAACGCCGCACUUCAAACUGCUGGGCAAACGAAGAGGUGCAGACGUCAAAGUCCGCACCUGAAUCAAAUGACGCACCUGAAGAAUGAACACGGUGAGAAGUCUUGUUAAGAAGACUUAAAACAUUGAACCCUCGCCGAAAGGUAAGCUCGGUAGUUAUCCAUAUUUAUCCUUUCUGCAUUCCCUUUUCCCUUUACUUAUUUACUUUCCUUAAAUAGAUUAUUAGUUAAUCAUGCUAUCUUGAAAAGAAAAUAAAAAUGUUAAAAAAUACUAAGCCCCAUGUGAGUAUACGAGUGACAUAAAACCCAUAAGUACCUUCACUGUGGUGGCAUAAAAAUAAAAUAAAUAUUUAUUUUCUGCAUUAUAAAAUAAAAAUAUAAAAACAGGGAGUAAUAUUUAUUGAGGAAGCUCAACAUGAUGAAGGCUAGAUAUUUAUGCUAACACUUAAUUAGUUCCACAAGCUUUGUUGUCUAUUUGAGCUUCACAGAAUUUAAGAAUCAAGAAGACUAGCAGACGGAGGACAUUCUAUUCGCUGUCAGAAUGUUGCUGACUUUCAAAUACACCUCUGCCACCUGCUAGCUACAUCAAGAGAAAUUACGUCAAAAUUCAGCUUGGGGGAGAGCACCCACAUUUAUCUCGCUAAGUAUUUCUACCUAUCUUUAUACUUAUAUUAUAUUAGAAUGUUAAAAUACAUAAACUAUGAAAACCAAAUAAAGAUUUUGUGCUUAUAUAUAUAUAUCUUUUGCUUAGUGUGUUUAAUAAAUAAAGUGGCUAUGCUAAUCUGAAUCUUAAUAAUAAAACUCUAGCAUGGAUAUGAUGAAUAGUUGCUCUGCCUAAUUUGCAAAUUUGAAGUUCUCUCUCAAGUUUAGACAUAACUGUUAUAAUUUAAAGCUUGCUCUAGAUCUAAAUUUGUGGGAUAAAAACUUGAUCUGAAAUCUAAGUUGUUAACGGAUAUGAUAUGGGAUGGUUGAGCUGCUGUUUAUCUGUUCCUAGAGAUGCUAGAAUUCUGGAGAAUUUUAUCUUUGAAAAAUCUUUAAAAUAUUGCAUGAUGAGUUCCUGUAUGAUGAAAGUUUAAAUUCCUAGAACAGCCAUAUAUACAUGCUUGCUAGACUUUGAGCCACAUAUUUACUAUUUACUGCUUAUGAGCAUUGUGUGUGGUCAAGCUGUGUAGACCCUUAGGAGCUUGUCAUGUGGUUAAAUCAAGAUUCACUUGCACGUUCACUCAUAUAUGCUACUUCUACUCCGGAAGUACCAUCCACAUAUAUCCAUCCAUGUUCAUAUCCAGAACCACCCAAAAAUAUUCUAUUCCUAAUCCGGGAGAGAAUAGCCAAAAAUAUUUCUGUUUUCCCUUGUGAAAUAAAUGCUCAAGUUAUCUUGCUACCACCACUUGCUAUAUUAUCUCAAGAGAUGAGUGCUCUGAAAAAAAGAAAAGAGAAAAAAAAUAAAAAAUAGUAAACGAGGAAAUAAAAAGGGGCAAGUGCCCGGAACCUCGAAAGAAAGAAAAAGUGAGACAAGAGGUAAAAAUGGACAAGUGUCCGACAGUAGAAUUAGGGGUACAGGAUACCCACGUGAGAGGAAAGAAAAAAAAUGAAUGAAAGAUAGAGCAUCUCAUUCUCCUCAUAAAGUUUCAAAAAGCAAGGAAGGUAUGUAUCCCCUCAAAAGAGCAAAAGUAGAAUUAGACUUCCACCAUUGUUAUCACCAUCAUCACCAUACACCAUUCAUUCGCCACACAUGCACAUCUUGAUUUGGCUUAUUGACUUGUUUCUCUGGAUCCAUGGUUUGACUAUGCAAUAAAUGUCUUGUAAGUAUGUAUUAGCUGUCUCCCACCUAUGAGCUCCAGAUAUUAAAGCCUUAUUAGAGUAGGGUGAGAGAGAAGGCAUAUACCAUCACUGCCUUGGUAAGGAUCCAGAAAUACCACAAAAGAGAGAUUUAGAGAGUCAUACAAGGAAUCUCUGAGUUUUAUAUGAAAAUCUGCAAAAACUCCAGAGCUAUAGCAGAUCAAGAAUAAGAGACAUGGCACUUGGCUAGACUGCUCUAUCUUUUAACUACUCAAGACAGAAGUGACGGUUACAAGUCCCAUGGUGAAAGGUAAAGUAGGUAAGUUUUAUUUCUUGACAGUUUACUCUAACUCAGAGAUGAGAUCUUAUUUAAAAGCAUGUGUACCGUCAAAUUUUUAAGAUAUUGCAACAACUUCUAAUCCAUUGCUGAGUCUGUCCUUGCUCAGGGACGAGCAAGAGGUAAGCUUGGGGGAGUUUGUUGACGGUCCUUAAGUAUCAAAUUUAAUUAUCAAAUAAACAAAGAAAAGGAUCCAAAUGAAAUCAACAUCUAGACUUAGGGUUUUAUCUGACAGAAUUCCACGAGUUUUGGUGUUUGUCUAUUUCUGCAGGGGGUUAUCAGGAAAUACGGAAGAAAGGCCCACACGUUGGGAUUACAUAAAGAUAUUAACGUGCCGCGCAAUUAUCUUACAUCUAGAAGACUCCAAAAGCCAUGGGAAGGAAGCGGAGGCCGAACGGGGCCAGAGGCAGGGCGCCCGCCCUCCUGCCCUGGGCGCCCGCCCACCUCUAGAGCCCAAUCGGGACUCUUUCUCUCGGGAGAUCUCCGCCGACCUAAAGGAUCAAGAAUAACCGUCCAAUCAAUGUCGGUUUGAUCCGACGGCCUAGGUUCACUUGAGGGGACUAUAUAACCAGACCCCCUGGCCCCUGUAGGAGGCACCCCUUGAUCAUUAUUCAUUAUUCAUAGACAGAGCAAAAGCUAGGGUUUAGAGAUGAGAGCUCUCUUCUCUUCUCUAAACUAGAGUAGAUCUAGAUAGUAGCAAGAUGGAG